UACAGAGGGUGCGAGCGUUAAUCGGAAUUACUGGGCGUAAAGCGUGCGUAGGUGGUUUGUUAAGUCUGCUGUGAAAGCCCUGGGCUCAACCCUGGGAUGCCGGUGGAUACUGUCGGGCUCGAGUCCGGAAGAGGAGUGUGGAAUUCCUGGUGUAGCGGUGAAAUGCGCAGAUAUCAGGAGGAACACCAAUGGCGAAGGCAGCACUCUGGGACGUGACUGACGCUGAGACGCGAAAGCGUGGGGAGCAAACAGG
Molecule: ribosomal RNA, 253 nt
Filed under: uncultured bacterium
Lineage: Bacteria
Description: partial 16S ribosomal RNA
Rfam family: Bacterial small subunit ribosomal RNA
Source: RNAcentral